GAGCGGCAGUCGCACCGCGCGCACUCGUGUCCAACGCAGCGGGAGGGAAUAAACGAAGGCGACGCCCUUCAGCGGCCAGCGCACUGCGAGUGUGUCCUGCUUGCGCGCUGAGCUGCGUUGAACUCGGCCACUGGACUUGCAGGAGGUGCUCAUCAUCUGCGUUUGACCGCAGCCCUGCGUGGACGCGCCUGCGUCGAAGAAGCCUCCUUCACCACCCACCGUUGCACCUCACCGCCUGCUUUUUGCACCCUCCGCUUGCAGGCCGCGUCUUCUGAUCCACGCACGAUCACACUCAUACACGCAUAGAUUGCAGCAACAACCCUUCCUUCCACCCUGCGGCACCACCCGCGCAUCUUCGCAAGCAGCGCAGCAGCGGCGUUUCACCAUGCUCACCAAUCGCACUCUGACGGAGGAGCAGACGAUUAUUCGGCGGCACUUCACCGACUUCUUCGAGAGUGAGCGCUAUGAAGAGAAGUACCAUGCACGCAUCCAGGCGAUGAUCGUUGCUGGCAAGGCGCGGCUGCUGCUAGACAUUGGCGACUUCCUCGACUAUGUCCCCAUCAGCGCCGGCGGAGAUGGUGGCGACGGCGCCGGCACUGGUGGGGCUGGCAGCGAGCUGGGACUGUCGCUGGGUGCCAACAUUAUCCGCCAGCCAAGCAAGUAUAUUCCUCUUUUGGAGUUAGCUCUUCAUGAUGUCGUACUUCGGCAGCAGCCCGAGUACCUAAAAGUCGACUACCGCUCUCGCGCCGUGCACGCCGGCUUCGAGGGCCCCGUUGGUCGCGUUCUGUCGCCACGCGAGCUCUACGCGCGUCACCUGAACACUAUGGUCGCGCUAGAGGGCAUCGUGACGCGGCAGUCGACGAACCGGCCGCGCGUUCUCGAGACGGUGCACUACUGCGUCGAGACGAACAAGUUCACAAAGAAGGAGUUCCGAGAUCAGCUGACGCCGAUGAUCGACAGCUCACAUCUGCCUACGGUGAACGUGAUGCCCAAGACGGACAUUGAGGGCCACGCCCUGCGCACAGAGCUUGGCUUGUGCACCUUCAUGGACUCGCAGUGUGCGGUGCUGCAGGAGGCACCGGAGCGCGCACCGACCGGGCAGUUGCCCCGCAACGUCGAAGUGCGCUUUGAUGACGACCUCGUCGACGCUGUGAAGCCGGGCGAUCGCGUACUGCUUGUCGGUGUGUACAUGCCAUACACGACGUCGGACAGCAAGAGCUUCCAGUCCAUCGUGCUGGUGAACCACGUCGUGCCGACGCAGGCCUUCACCUUCCUCUCCCGCCCCAUCCCAUCCGUGGAGGAUCGGCUCACUCGCUUUGCGCAAAGGUGUGCCGAGCAGCUGGGCCCCGGUGGCGUACUGGAGACACUCUCCAGGGCAGUUGCCCCUACCAUCUACGGCAUGACCGCUGCGAAGCAGGCCAUCUUACUGAUGAUGGUUGGCGGUGUGGAGCGCAAGUCGCACAACUCGCACGUGCGUGGUGACAUCAACGUCCUCCUCGUUGGUGAGCCGUCGACAGCCAAGUCGCAGCUGCUACGCUUUGUCCUCGGCAUCGCACCGCUCGCCCUGAGUACGACCGGCAAGGGCUCCUCCGGUGUCGGGCUGACGGCGGCCGUGGCGACGGACAGCUACACGGGCGAGCGGUCGCUGAGCGCUGGGGCGAUGGUGCUGGCGGACCGCGGCAUCCUCUGCAUUGACGAGUUCGAUAAGAUGGGCUCGCAAGACCGGGUAGCGAUGCAUGAAGCGAUGGAGCAGCAGACGGUCACGAUCGCCAAGGCUGGCAUUCACGCAUCGCUGAAUGCCCGGUGCAGCGUGUUGGCGGCAGCGAACCCCAUUUACGGCUUCUACAGCGUGCAGCACCGCUUGGCAUUCAACGUCGGCCUGCCCGAGUCUCUGCUCUCCCGUUUCGACUUGACCUUCAUCAUUUUAGAUCAGCAUGCUUCGGACUACAACCGUCGCAUUGGCUAUCACAUUCUGCGCAACCACAUGACCGCGGAGGCCGUCAGGUACGACGAAGUCGACUCACGGACGGUGGUUGACAGCGUCGAGGCCGGCAGCGGACGUGAAAGCAGCGGAGCCGAGCUGGACGGCCGUGAUGGGCGUCGGGGUGGUCGGGGCGUAGACGGCGAGGAUGGUGGCAGCGGUGAAAGCCGUCUUGACUUGCGCAUGACGACGAACAGCACCGGUGAGUCGAUUGUCAGCAUCGACUUUUUGCGAACCUUUCUGCAGAUGGCAAAGCGCGGGUCGCCGCUGCUGACCGAGGUGUCGCGCGAUCUCGUGUGCCAGCACUACGUGCAGCUGCGCGCGGAGCAGCAGGAUGGCGGGCGCGACGGUUUUUUCAUCACCCCGCGUACGCUUGACGCAAUUGUGCGUCUGUGCACUGCGCACGCCAAGCUUCGCCUCUCGCCGACGGUGGAGGAGUCGGACGUGACGGCGGCGAUGGCUCUCCUGCGGGCCUCCGUGAACGCCGCGACGACGGCGACGCAGCAGCGCAAGGAUGACAAUCAACUUUCGCUCUCGGAGGCGGCCGCCGGUGUUGCUGGAGCGGCACUGGCGCCUGGUCAGAAGCGUCCAAACGCCGCCAUGGAGGUGGUGGGGGCACAGAACCGCGCGAGCAAGGCAGGCGCCUACCUCAGCAGCGGCACCGAGGAGUACGUCGCCGACAAGGCGUCAGGCAGGAGCUCGCAUCAACGUCUGCGCACCGAAAGCGCCCUCGUCGGCGACAGCGGUCGUGCUAGCGGCGAAGCGGCGGCAGCUGUCUCAGAUGCGGCACCUGCAGUCACUACUGGCAUCUUCAGUAACGCCGCAGUUGCUGCAGUCGACAUCAAUCUCAGUCGGCGCGUGAUCGAAGCGCUGAAGCAACUGCAGCGCGAGCAACGGGAUGGCGUGUCACUGGAUGAGCUACAUGAGCGCCUAGGUGGGCACACGAUCUCGGCAGAGUCGCUGAAGCUCUCCGUGAUGCAGCUGCAAGGGGACGCCUUCAUCUUUGAGAGUACCGAAGACGGCGGCAGCAACACGAUCCAGUUCAUUUAAGCUGUGCGGUGGGGUGGGGGGGGGCGGGGCAGGGGGUGAUGAAAGACGCACCUCCUCACGUUUAGCAAUGCCCUCACUUUUUCUCUUUCCUGGUGGUGUAAUCGCGUGCAUUGUCAGCGCGCGUGCGCUCCGCCUCUCUCUCUUCCUUUUUCCUGUGCAUCGAUAAUGAUAGGGACGAUGAAUGAGUUGAGAUUUCGAGUGGCUGUGCCGCCUCUCUCGUUCUUACCCACACACGCACACACAGAUAUAAAUCUAUGUAGAUCUAUUUGUCUGCCUGGUUAUCACCAAUAGACGCGCAACUCCCGCCUGGAGCUGUUGCUGCGCACGCUGUUGUUGGCAUUCUAUUCCCUUUGCAUGUGUCCUGCGGAAAUGCUGAUAUGUUCGUCUCUCACGUUCUCUCUUUUUUUUUUCGCGCGUGUGUGCGUGCGUGUCGAGGCGGCGGAAGGGCUUAGCGUGGGGGGGAGACGGAUGGGGGGGGGAACCCCCUGCCCAGUGAGACGCAGGCCGUGGCACUAGCUUCUUUGUCGUUGUUGUUUCUGUGUCGAGGAACCGCCAGGACUGUGAAAACGGCUCGCAUCACUGUUGUCCCCAAGUCGGCCUUAGCCCACGCCCCUUCCCCUACCCUCGCACCGUUGCACUCGACGACGAGAGAGUGAGAGAGGUAGGAGGGCGUUGUUGCCUCAAUGCGUGUCGGUGUAUCAGUGUGAGUGUGUAGUCGUUAUCUUUUCCCUUUUCUUCGACAACAUCUCUCGCUACGCAGGAAGUUGUGACUCCGACGGAAACGAAUGGGCCAACCGCGUACGGCGAGAAGACCGGCAGCACGCGAAGUGAUCGAGAUUAGAAAUGGAUGCGUCAGCGAGGUCGAGCGGACACCGUCGUCAGAUGCGGUCCCUCACUCUCUCCCCC
This 3937-nucleotide unclassified non-coding RNA is filed under the name Leishmania donovani. RNAcentral describes it as "gene:LdHU3.33.3980(CDS-product:DNA_replication_li censing_factor_MCM3_putative)". The record is from RNAcentral. Lineage: Eukaryota; Euglenozoa; Kinetoplastea; Trypanosomatida; Trypanosomatidae.